UCAAGGAAGCGUGACUCAGCUCCUCUGAGUGAGUGUGGGGAGAUGGGUGGGACCCAAAGCUAGGGACAGGCAGAGACUUUUUCAGGCUGCCCCAGGCCUCCUAGAGUGGAUUGCUGGUCUCCUGUUGUGCCAUGCCCCAUGCCCUCUCUGAUGUUUUGUUUGGAGGCCCUGUCUUUUAACCCCAGCUUCUGCAUCUCUUUGGUGCUGUGACUGUGGUUUCUAAUAAGGCAGCACAGUGCAUCUCAGAAGCAAGUCUCACCCAGACAGGGAUUUUCUAGUCACAUCAACCAGUUGGUUCAUGAGACCUAAGGGAAAGUUGCUAACCGUUUCUAGACAGGAGCAGAUUUUCAUCGUCCUUAAAGAAACUGCACUACAAGAAUUUCUUGUUUAUAUGGGUUUCUUUUAAGACCCCAUCUUUGUAAUUACCCUACCGUUUCUUACAGAGAGGCCCUCCCCACAUGCAUUCCAUAGUUUCAGGGUCCCACAUUACUUGUUUCAACCAAAUUAUCUCAAAUAACCCCAUAGUCUGUCAGUCUCCCCUCAUUCCAUUCUGUAACCUCAGCACUUGAACUAAACAUAAGAAAGCAAAUGACAGAUACACAUGGUAAUGCUAACACACUAGUGGUGACCUGCUAUGGAUUAAUCACCACAAUUGAUUGACCUCCAGGACUUCAGAACAACUUUAGGAGAAUUUUAUAAAAUGAAAGAUGCUUCAAAACAAAACAAGUAGGUUCUUUGCUAUGUGACUCUGGAGGUUUUUCUUGAUGGAUUGAUGUCAGUGGGCCUCUAACCAAGUUGCCUGUGGGCUCCACAAAGGGCUGAGAAACAUUGUUUUUGUAUAUUACAGACCCCAUACAUGGCAUGGAUAAACCUGAUUGUGUUCUUCUUAUUAUUUUGUAUUGCUUUUUGUAUGAUGAAGGGAUUUGGGGUGGGAAUGAUGAUACAUGGCAAGGACAUAGUUUAAAAUAUUCUCUCUCAGUCCAUGUGAACUUCAAACAGGAUGAUAAACUCAAGAGUCACAUUUUAGUUUCUGGAAGUGGUGGUGUUGGAAGGAUUCUCUGGAAACCCUUUAUGUCUCUAGAUAUUUUUAUAAAGGUUUCCUAUGGAGACCAGGUUGGCCUAGAACUUGCCAUCCUCUCUGUGAUUCCAUCUUAAGAGACCCUGUAAACAGCGUGACAUAGGUAGGUGGAUUCAGUCUAAGUAGAGCCUGGCUGGCCUCUGCCUUCUGAUGAUGCCAGUGGUUUCACCAGAUCUGCCUUGCUUUCAGUUCAUGGUGACUAAACAUUUCUCCCUGUGAACACACAGGAAUGACUCAGUCUUGCUCAAUAACUGAAGCACAUGUCACAGAGUCCUGUGAUUUCAUGCCCUACUGAUUCACCAUCCACUCACUUGCCCAAAUGCCCGUUUCCACCCAUGAGGAGCCCGUUGCCUCUAGUUAUCUGUUGGUCUUGAGUCCUACACAUCACUGGCUUCAGCCACUUACUACUCCUUUCACCCUGUAGUCUGAUGCGAGCACAGCCCACCUUCAAACUCAUGUCGGAAGGAAUGCUCUCAUCCGGAAUGGACCAUAUCCCCAGUGUGAUCAUAGAUUCAUCUGGAAGAGAGUUGCUGGGACACUGUGUAAACUUCAUUUCCUGGCUACAGAGCUCAAGAAAACAAAAAAGGGGCAUUCCCUGGUGAAUGUGGAAAGGCUAAGAGCAGUGGUGUUGUUGACAAGAGACCUCAAAUGAGGCUGUGUGUCUCCAGGCCCCGGAGAAAAGGAAUCGGAUGCAGAUCAGAGCUGCAGCUUCAUUCUCAAGAGUCUGACUCUGGCAGCCCCCUCAGUCGCUUGUCCACUGAUAAAAUAGCCCUGAUAAGGGCGUGUUGACACGUGCCAGGUGUUUGCAAAGUAUGGAGCAUCCUUUGUCUCAUUUAACUUUUAUUAAAUUCAGCGGAGGUGGACACCAUUACAGAGUAAAGCACACACCCAAAAUGAAUGACCUUCAUAAAGGUCACUUGGUAAAUGAAUGGCAAACUCAGUCACCUGAUCUCCAAAGUCUGUGCACCUCACCCCGUUACACCGUUUAUUAAGAAAACUCUAGGAAGAAGAUAAAGCUCAAACCGGGGGCCAGUGGGCACCUGUCACCUCCCCUCCAUCAUGGCGGGUCUUACCUCAGAGUGUUUUCCAGGGGCCGGCCACAGGCUCACGACGGGCCCUCGGUCCUUCACCUGCUGCAGGUCAUCCAGGCUGACGUACUUGCCCAACUCAAUCACUUUAUCCAUCCAGAAGAUGUCCGUCAUCCCAUGGUCUGAGAAAAUGAUGACAUUCAGGUCAUCCUGCAGGCCUCGUUCCUGCGGGGUAGACACAAGACGUCACCACAUUGACUGGGCAAAUGUCCUUUCACACACACAUCCUUGCAAAGAGGUGCUUUUAAGCUUUUGGUUAGAGGGGAAAGGAGACUGCUAAAGUUGAAACCCACGAUUAACCCCCACGUCCAGGAUAAACCGGCCAAUAGACUUACUAAUAGUGCUAAGAAGCAGCCCAGCUCUCCAGUCAAGCCAGGCAAUAAUCUGUAUUAGAUGAGCUUAAUCCCACUGGCCACCCAUGGAAUAAGAAGUUUCUUGGCACCCUAAAAAGUACAGUGUGAAGAAAACAGGGCCUCACACUGGCCUAGUAAACAGAUUGUUGGAGGAAGUAUGAAGGAGUGGCCGUCAUGGAGAUGACAAGAAAUGACAGGAGGAAAUGCCGGGUCAGCUGCCCUUGCUUUGGGUCACCUGGAUCCACUGGAUCAUGUACUUCAGUACGGUGUCCACAGCUUUGAGGGCGUCUUUCCGCUGAGGUGAUGAGGGGCCGAAGUGGUGACCUUCCACAUCAAUGCGUUCAUGGUAUAUGGCUGCUAGGUCAGCUCGGCCGCUCCUGGAGGGAACACAGUGAGACAGAGACCCACAGUUGAAGGAGACCUCUGGCAGCUUGCUCCCGAAUGACCCACUGACCCUCUGCGAAGGUGUGAGAACCCCCAAGCAGACCUCCCAGUAGAUCAGUCAAAGCCCACGUGUCCACGUAAACAAGGCAAUACUAGGAGGAGACACCGUUAUCUAGGUGCUCUGUGUCUACGGGUUAACUUUGUUUCCAGGCCUGGAGGUACAGGUACAAGUGUUCUCACAAAAUAGCAUUGCACACGAAGAAGCAGACUUCAGAGGGUUCUAGAAGUUUCCCACUCCCUGGCAGAUUUCUGAGACACAGCUGGGACUUGGAAAUGUACACUGGGCCUUUGAAAGCCCACCCACAUCUACUCCAUCUUGAAAACUAGGGAAGAGAUUCGGAACAUUCUCUGCCUGGCAUCCCUUCUUUCUGGUCCCACACAUCCUUUAGUGAUGCCGAUAUUUUCUUCUGAGCUCUCUGGGGGUGCACAUCAUUAACAGCUCGGAGGGAACGCUGGUUUCAAGAGAAGUGAAAUCAUUCAUCAGAUGUUCUUUUCUCUUUUUAGGACAAAACAAAUUGACCCUUUGUUAGUAAGGCCCAUCACUAGCCUCCUCCACAGUGUGGAUUGGGUUAUGUUAGUAUUUAGAUUUUUCUCACAAGUGCUAUGCUCAUUAUUCAGACUCCCUGGUGUGAGAAUGACUCAUUCAAACCUCCUGAGCAUCUAUACAUGGUCAGACACAAAAGGUCCCUCUUGGGCCCCGUGAGUGUGUAGGCGGUGGGGGGGGGAGAAGUCAGUAUUGGGCAGUAUGACUGCCGUCCAUAUGCGGAAACUCGCUGACAGUCUGUGACUGGGAGGGCUCACUGCAUCUGAACACAAUGGCAGCUUCCAUAAAACCUGUCCUGGAGAUAAGCCUCCACAUUUAUCCACUUUACAUACUGGCCUCUUAGGCAUUCCAGAUGUGCUGGUUUGGGCACUGCGUCGUCUGUUUAGGUGUCCACACUUCCAGCACGGGUCCUGGAUAGGGCGGAAAAUCCCACUUAACACACUGGCGACUUAAUCAGAUGUGAGGUUGACCGUGGCAUUGGAGUUUAACGAAAUACACCCAGCUCUCUUCAUUUUAAUACCCACUGUAUGGCAGCGUCGUAGCGCACUGUUGUGUAGGCUGGCUUCUCCGAGGCUGUUUAUCACAUCUGAAAAUCUCCAUGUGGUCAGAAAGCUGGAGAGUGUCACAAUUUACCUGAUGGCAUUGUUUCAGGAAGCUGUCAAGCUCAGAUGCCUGGAACACUUGAUUUGGGAUGCUUGUGUUACAGGGAGUACACACAAGAGAGGUUUCUGCGUUAAGGUUUCAUUGAUUCAUUAGGGACUGAAGUCCCUCAGGGCUGACAGCUCUUGCCUGUUUGGAGUUUAGCAGAUAAAUUCUUGGUAGCCAGCUGUUUCCGAUGUGGGUCUGGUCUCUAUCACAGGUCAGCUCGUUUGUUAUGGGUUUGGGUGAGGCAAGCUGGAUAGAAGUGCCUGCACGUCUGUUAUUGGCCAUUUAUUGCUUUGAGGUUCAGGAACCUUGCCAGAAGGACAUGUGGUCAUCAAACCCAGUUCCCAGAAAGCUGCAGGGGGCCUCCAGCUCUAGGGUUUCAGGGACACCCAAGUCUCCUAUCACCUUAUAAUUCUGUCUAGAUUGCUUUGCAAUAUAAAAGGUUCAUAAUGUCAUAUGCACUUUUCUUGCUGAAGUAGGUUGGGAAGAGAGGAGAAUUGGGCAGGGGGAAAUGGAAGCAAUUUAAAGGUAUGGUUAGUUAUUGACUCUGAAGAAGGAUGAUUUACUAUUUAGAAAGAAGGACCCUGAAAUGACUGUGCAUGCCUUCAGUGUCAUCUUGGAGCACUGUCCGAUACACUCGCUUAAAAGUCACCAGACUUCAUUCAUGACUAUCUUUCAGAGCCUGUAAUGGUAGCUACUAGCUAGCAGAAAACUGAUCAAAUAAAAUUUGAAUUUUCUGAAA
Long non-coding RNA from Mesocricetus auratus (golden hamster), 4894 nucleotides. RefSeq lists it as uncharacterized. The record is from RefSeq and is a predicted model, not a curated record. The transcript has 3 exons. Lineage: Eukaryota; Metazoa; Chordata; Mammalia; Rodentia; Cricetidae.